UACGGAGGGGGCCAGCGUUGUUCGGAAUUAUUGGGCGUAAAGGGCGCGUAGGCGGCCGGGUAAGUCUGAUGUGAAAUCCCACGGCUCAACCGUGGAACUGCAUCUGAAACUGUUCGGCUUGAGUCCGGGAGAGGGUAGUGGAAUUCCCAGUGUAGCGGUGAAAUGCGUAGAUAUUGGGAGGAACACCGGUGGCGAAGGCGGCUACCUGGACCGGUACUGACGCUGAUGCGCGAAAGCUAGGGUAGCAAACAGG
RNAcentral lists this ribosomal RNA (253 nucleotides) under uncultured bacterium. RNAcentral describes it as "partial 16S ribosomal RNA". It matches the Rfam family "Bacterial small subunit ribosomal RNA", at positions 524 to 776 of the family's 1533-position model. The record is from RNAcentral.